UGAGUAAUGUCUGGGAAACUGCCUGAUGGAGGGGGAUAACUACUGGAAACGGUAGCUAAUACCGCAUAACGUCGCAAGACCAAAGAGGGGGACCUUCGGGCCUCUUGCCAUCAGAUGUGCCCAGAUGGGAUUAGCUAGUAGGUGGGGUAAUGGCUCACCUAGGCGACGAUCCCUAGCUGGUCUGAGAGGAUGACCGGCCACACUGGAACUGAGACACGGUCCAGACUCCUACGGGAGGCAGCAGUGGGGAAUAUUGCACAAUGGGCGCAAGCCUGAUGCAGCCAUGCCGCGUGUGUGAAGAAGGCCUUCGGGUUGUAAAGCACUUUCAGCGAGGAGGAAGGUGGUGAGCUUAAUACGCUCAUCAAUUGACGUUACUCGCAGAAGAAGCACCGGCUAGCUCCGUGCCAGCAGCCGCGGUAAUACGGAGGGUGCAAGCGUUAAUCGGAAUUACUGGGCGUAAAGCGCACGCAGGCGGUUUGUUAAGUCAGAUGUGAAAUCCCCGGG
This 504-nucleotide ribosomal RNA is filed under the name uncultured bacterium. RNAcentral describes it as "bacterial SSU rRNA". It matches the Rfam family "Bacterial small subunit ribosomal RNA", at positions 107 to 607 of the family's 1533-position model. The record is from RNAcentral.